RNAcentral lists this ribosomal RNA (394 nucleotides) under uncultured bacterium. Its description in RNAcentral is "bacterial SSU rRNA". It matches the Rfam family "Bacterial small subunit ribosomal RNA", at positions 971 to 1425 of the family's 1533-position model. The record is from RNAcentral.
UUACCGGCUAGAAUGGACGGAAACUUCUUCGGACCAAGGUGCUGCAUGGUUGUCGUCAGCUCGUGCCGUGAGGUGUUGGGUUAAGUCCCGCAACGAGCGCAACCCUAUCUUAGUUGCCAUUCUGGGGGACUCUAAGAGACUGCCGGCGUAACCGGAGGAAGGUGGGGACGACGUCAAAUCAUCAUGGCCUUUAUGCCGGGCGACACACGUGCUACAAUGGGGUACAAGGGGCACCGCAAGGGGAGCAAUCCCUAAACCGUCCCAGUUCGGAUUGGAGUCUGAAACCCGACUCCAUGAAGUUGGAAUCGCUAGUAAUCGCGAUCAGCAUGCGCGGUGAAUACGUUCCCGGACCUUGUACACACCGCCCGUCAAGCCAUGGAAGCUGGGGGCCGAA